AUUGAACGCUGGCGGCAUGCCUUACACAUGCAAGUCGAACGGCAGCACGGGUGCUUGCACCUGGUGGCGAGUGGCGAACGGGUGAGUAAUACAUCGGAACGUACCUUAUCGUGGGGGAUAACGCAGCGAAAGCUGUGCUAAUACCGCAUACGCCCUGAGGGGGAAAGCGGGGGAUCGCAAGACCUCGCGCGAUUAGAGCGGCCGAUGCCUGAUUAGCUAGUUGGUGGGGUAAAAGCCCACCAAGGCGACGAUCAGUAGCUGGACUGGGAGGACGAUCAGCCACGCUGGGACUGAGACACGGCCCAGACUCCUACGGGAGGCAGCAGUGGGGAAUUUUGGACAAUGGGGGCAACCCUGAUCCAGCAAUGCCGCGUGAGUGAAGAAGGCCUGCGGGUUGUAAAGCUCUUUUGUCAGGGAAGAAACACCGGCUCUAACACAGUCCGGGAAUGACGUUACCGACAGAAUAAGCACCGGCUAACUUCGUGCCAGCCGCCGCGGUAA
Molecule: ribosomal RNA, 501 nt
Filed under: uncultured bacterium
Lineage: Bacteria
Description: partial 16S ribosomal RNA
Rfam family: Bacterial small subunit ribosomal RNA
Source: RNAcentral